AGUUUGAUCCUGGCUCAGAGUUGAACGCUGGCGGCAGGCUUAACACAUGCAAGUCGAGCGCCCGCAAGGGGAGCGGCAGACGGGUGAGUAACGCGUGGGAACAUACCCUUUGGUUCGGAAUAACUCAGGGAAACUUGAGCUAAUACCGGAUACGUCCGUAAGGAGAAAGAUUUAUCGCCUUUAGAUGGGCUCGCGUUGGAUUAGCUAGUUGGUGGGGUAAAGGCCUACCAAGGCGACGAUCCAUAGCUGGUCUGAGAGGAUGAUCAGCCACACUGGGACUGAGACACGGCCCAGACUCCUACGGGAGGCAGCAGUGGGGAAUAUUGGACGAAUGGGCGAAAGCCUGAUCCAGCAAUGCCGCGUGAGUGAUGAAGGCCUUAGGGUUGUAAAGCUCUUUUACCCGAGAUGAUAAUGACAGUAUCGGGAGAAUAAGCUCCGGCUAACUCCGUG
Molecule: ribosomal RNA, 450 nt
Filed under: uncultured bacterium
Lineage: Bacteria
Description: bacterial SSU rRNA
Rfam family: Bacterial small subunit ribosomal RNA
Source: RNAcentral